UCGCAGGGCAUCUCCAGCUGCUCCCAUUGAGCUGUCUGCUCGCUGUGCCCGCUGUGCCUGCUGUGCCCGCGCUGUCGCCGCUGCUACCGCGUCUGCUCGACGCGGGAGACGCCAGCGAGCUGGUGAUUGGAGCCCUGCGGAGAGCUCAAGCACCCAGCGCUGCCCCAGGAGCCCAGGCUGCCCUGUGAGUCCCAUAGUUGCUGCAGGAGUGAAGCCAUGAGCUGUGUCCUGGGCGGUGUCAUCCCCUUGGGGCUGCUGUUCCUGGUCUGCGGAACCCAAGGCUACCUCCUGCCCAACGUCACUCUCUUAGAGGAGCUGCUCAGCAAAUACCAGCACAACGAGUCUCACUCCCGGGUCCGCCGAGCCAUCCCCAGGGAGGACAAGGAGGAGAUCCUCAUGCUGCACAACAAGCUUCGGGGCCAGGUGCAGCCUCAGGCAUCCAACAUGGAGUACAUGACCUGGGAUGACGAACUGGAGAAGUCUGCUGCAGCGUGGGCCAGUCAGUGCAUCUGGGAGCACGGGCCCACCAGUCUGCUGGUGUCCAUCGGGCAGAACCUGGGCGCUCACUGGGGCAGGUAUCGCUCUCCUGGGUUCCACGUGCAGUCCUGGUAUGACGAGGUGAAGGACUACACCUACCCCUACCCGAGCGAGUGCAACCCCUGGUGUCCAGAGAGGUGCUCAGGGCCCAUGUGCACGCACUACACACAGAUAGUUUGGGCCACCACCAACAAGAUCGGCUGUGCUGUGAACACCUGCCGGAAGAUGACCGUCUGGGGAGAAGUUUGGGAGAACGCAGUCUACUUUGUCUGCAAUUAUUCUCCAAAGGGGAACUGGAUUGGAGAAGCCCCCUACAAGAAUGGCCGGCCCUGCUCUGAGUGCCCGCCCAGCUAUGGAGGCGGCUGCAGGAACAACUUGUGUUACCGAGUCUUGGUGUGACCCCCGCCUCCAGGGAGCCUUCCUGGACUUCACAGACAGACAGUGUACUUGCCCAUGUUCAUCAACCCCCAGACUCCUUGGGAACCUUGAUCGUCCUGUUGUCUCAGCUGCCAGCUCACUCCAGGGCCUCCGGGGGCAUGUGGCAG
This 1082-nucleotide small RNA is filed under the name Pongo abelii (Sumatran orangutan). RNAcentral describes it as "processed transcript". Lineage: Eukaryota; Metazoa; Chordata; Mammalia; Primates; Hominidae. The record is from RNAcentral.